GCAUCAGUGGUCUAACGGUUAUGAUCCGGUCUUCCCAUGAAAAGUUUGUGGCCGGGAAAGGGGUUCGACUCCCCUCUGAUGCA
RNAcentral lists this transfer RNA (83 nucleotides) under Lentinula boryana. RNAcentral describes it as "tRNA-Gly". It matches the Rfam family "tRNA". From Rfam's summary of the family: Transfer RNA (tRNA) molecules are approximately 80 nucleotides in length. Their secondary structure includes four short double-helical elements and three loops (D, anti-codon, and T loops). Lineage: Eukaryota; Fungi; Basidiomycota; Agaricomycetes; Agaricales; Omphalotaceae. RNAcentral also lists the same sequence under 1 other name. The record is from RNAcentral.